RNAcentral lists this ribosomal RNA (58 nucleotides) under uncultured fungus. RNAcentral describes it as "partial 28S ribosomal RNA". It matches the Rfam family "Eukaryotic large subunit ribosomal RNA", at positions 1 to 57 of the family's 3401-position model. Lineage: Eukaryota; Fungi. The record is from RNAcentral.
UUGGCCUCGGAUCAGGUGGGGAUACCCGCUGAACUUAAGCAUAUCAAUAAGCGGAGGA